UGGGAUUUGGAAAACCGGUGGGGUUUCGUUUUUUACCAACUGAUGAAGAAAUUUUUAUGUUUCUUCGAAUGAAAGUAAACGGAGAGCGAUUACCACACGAUGAGGUGGCUGAGUCUGAUAUAUACGGAGACAAAGAGCCGUGGGUGAUAUUUGAUCAGAAUGAGAAAAGGCAGUUCUUCGUCUUCUCCAAGUUGAAGAAGAAGACCAAGUCAAGGAAGGAAAGAAUCGUAGGCUACAGGACUUGGAAGAUUGAACGAACUGAAGAAGUUCGUGAUCGUGGGAACAAACUCAUCGGAUUCAAGAAAUCGUUCGUCUUCCAAUAUAAGAAAACAAGGCCAAAGGUGCUGUCGCUAAAGGACACUAGAUCAUGAAUGAGUUUUCGCUUCGAGACUAUUCACAUGCUGACGAUUUUGAUGAGUACGUCCUAUGUCGAAUAAGAAACAAAGACUUGGACAAAAUGAAAUAUCAUGAUCAUGUUCAUGCUCAUGCCCAUCAAGUUCCAGUCGUGGAGACCGACUAAAUAAACCAGACAAACUUGAACUCGGGAGAAAAAAAUCCUAUUGCUGCUGUGCCCCAAUAAUACCGGCGUCUGAACAAGAAGUGAUUGAUGAAAUGGUUGCUGAGCCUAUGGGCGAUUUUGCUUGAUAUGAAGUACUGAACAAACAACAGUACUGAACACGAGGGAUGCAUUCCCUCUGAAAGUGGUUGGUGGCAGCAAUCUAUCUAUCCCUUAAUAUUUAACCAGCCCCUGAUAUGAACCUGCGCGCAGAACACAGCUU
Molecule: long non-coding RNA, 779 nt
Organism: Alnus glutinosa
Lineage: Eukaryota; Viridiplantae; Streptophyta; Magnoliopsida; Fagales; Betulaceae
Exons: 3
Source: RefSeq, a predicted model, not a curated record